CCGACAAGUCGAUAGCUCAGUUGGCAGAGCGGUGGACUGUAGAACCAUAGGUCGCUGGUUCGAAUCCGGCUCGACGGA
Trichonephila inaurata madagascariensis is the source of this 78-nucleotide non-coding RNA. Lineage: Eukaryota; Metazoa; Arthropoda; Arachnida; Araneae; Nephilidae. The record is from the annotation of a GenBank genome assembly.